Molecule: ribosomal RNA, 118 nt
Filed under: Burkholderiaceae bacterium
Lineage: Bacteria; Pseudomonadati; Pseudomonadota; Betaproteobacteria; Burkholderiales; Burkholderiaceae
Description: partial 23S ribosomal RNA
Rfam family: Bacterial large subunit ribosomal RNA
Source: RNAcentral
UGCCGGGGCCUUGAGCCCCCUAAAGAGUCGUUCAAGACCAGGACGUUGAUAGGUCAGGUGUGGAAGCGCAGUAAUGCGUUAAGCUAACUGAUACUAAUUGCUCGUGCGGCUUGACCCU